AUGGCCACCGCCGGCGCCGUCGUUGACCGGCUCCUACGCCGGUUGGCCUCCGACGCUCGCCGGUCGGAGCUACCCUCGGGCGUAGACGAGCACGUGGCGCAUCUGUGGCGAACUCUGUCGGGGUUGCAAGAUGUGCUGCUAAGUGUGGAGAGAUAUUUUAGGGCGCGUACGGAGGUGCAGGAUUGGAUGGCGACGAUAAAUCAGAUUGUCUAUGAUUCUGAACAUCUCUUGGACGAGUUUGAAGACCAAAAUGGCAUCGGAUCUGAGAGGACCGGCUGUAUUACAAAGGCAACAUCAUUGUGUUCAUGUCCAUUUUUCUUGUACGAUACCAGAGUGAAUAGAAUGAAGAUACUCAGAAAAAGGUUGGAUCUUUUAGCAAGAGAUUCUGUGGUUUUCAGUUUGAUGCAGCACCCAAAGUUUGAUCUUGAGCAAUCUGAUAUCCAAGAAGAGUUCUAUAGAGCUGCAAUUGUUGGAAGAGAUAGUGACAAAGAAAAAAUAAAGGAAUUAAUGUUGGAAAAUGAUACAGAAACAUUGUCCAUCAUUCCCAUAGUUGGCCUUGUGGGUUUGGGGAAAACAGCUCUUGCCAGAUUAAUUUUCCAUGACCAGGGAGAAGGGUGGAAUUUAGAUCUUCGUAUUUGGAUCGACUUAAAUAGGAAAUUUGACCUUAAAAACAUUGCUGCUGAUAUAAUCUCACAAGCUAAUGGAACAAAAGAAGGACCCUCAGAAAUCAAUACCAACAUUCAGAUCCAUGAAAAUCUCCAAUUGCUAAAGGAUCGUUUGCAGAAGACACUUCAUGACAAACGUUGUCUAAUUGUCUUGGAUGACCUUUGUAGCAUAGAUAAAAGCCAGUUGGAUGAACUGAAGGAAAUGCUCAGGCGUACGAACAAGUGGAUCAAGGUUUUGGUGACCACUUCCAGUGAAAUAACUGCAGAACUAAUGCACACUUUCCCACCGUACAAGUUGUUUCCAUUGUCUGAAGAUGACUGUUGGGAAAUAUUUUCUGAAAAAGCUUUUGGGGAUGGAGGUAUUGUUAAUUCAUGCCUGAAGAAAAUUGGGAAGCAAAUUGUGAAAAGAUGUGAUGGAAUACCAUCUUUAGCUCAUUUUCUGGGUUCAGUAGUGCACAAUCAAGUCAUGGAUGUCUGGUUAGCAGCAAGGGAUGAACCAAUAUGUAAAUUAGAGAGCACAUAUUCCAUGAAAGUUAAAGUGUUUUCAUCACUGAAUCAAAUAUACUAUGACAUGCCCUCAGCGCUGAAACUAUGCUUUCUAUAUUUAUCAGUAUUUCCUAAGGGAUCUAUUAUUGAUAAAGAAAAACUUAUCAGACAGUGGAUUGCGCUUGAUAUUAUUGGAUCAAAACAUGGAACUUUGCCAUCCUAUGUGCAGGCGGAGAUGUACAUUCAGGACCUUCUGUCAAUACAUUUCCUCCAAGUCAGGAAGACACAUUCAGUUAAUGGAAUGGAGGUCAGUACGUCUCCUACAACACUCUACAUGCAUAACUUUGUCCAUGAAUUUGCAAGGCAUGUUGCUUGCAAUGAUAUUAUUAUUUUGGAUGAUAAAGAAAUGAAUGAUAAUGCAAAAGAGCUCUCCUUCCAAUAUGCAUUGUUGACCCAUUACAAAGGGCAAUCAACACUUUGCAGUGCACUGCUCACAAGGGCAAGGGCAUUACACUUUCUGAAUGCUGAGGCUAUAAAGCUCCAUCGAGAAGCAUUUGAAUUACUGAGGCAUCUGCGUGUUUUGAAUCUCAGUGGAAGCUGCAUUGAAGAAAUACCCGCUUCCAUUGGCCAUUUGAAACAUCUAAGAUACCUUGAUAUUUCUGGCUUAAAGGUUCAGAUAUUACCUUCCUCCAUGAGUACAUUGAUAAAUCUUGAGGCGUUGGAUCUAUCAAAUACUUCUCUCAAGGAGUUGCCCUCUUUCAUUGGUUCUUUAGAGAAGCUAAAAUAUUUGAACCUGCAAGGCUGUGACAUACUUCAAAACUUGCCUGCAACCCUUGGUCAUCUCCAAACACUUGAGCAUCUUAGGGUGUCAUGUCGUUAUGAUAUUGGUGAGCUAGCUGACUCUCUCUGCAAUCUUCAGGAUCUUCGGUUUAUUGAUUUGUCAAGCUGCACUGAGCUUCCACAGUUGCCUUGUUCAUUUGGUAAUUUAAUGAAAUUGGAGGAUCUAAACCUAUCUAGUUGCUUCAACCUCAAGCAGCUACCAGAAUCUUUUGGCAACCUUUAUUUUCUUAGGUCUCUGAACAUGUCGAGCUGCUAUGAGCUCGAACAAUUGCCUGGAUCUUUUUGUAAUCUCGUCAAGUUGGAAGUCCUUAUACUUAGGAGGUGUCAUAGACUUCAAAACCUCCCUCCGUCCUUCGGGAAUAUCGAGAACCUUCGAAUUUUGGAUCUAACUGGCUGCGAGGCACUUCAUGUAAGUGUUGGGAUGUUAACAACCAAUUUGGAGUAUCUGAAUCUACAGCAAUGUCUUAAGCUGCCGACUCGGCCUAACUGUUUAAAUAACUUCACUGGACUGAAGUUUUUGAAUCUCUCACAGUGCAUCCCUACCAUUGACUGUCUGCAAUCUCUUGGCUACUUGUUCAAUCUAGAAUAUCUGAACUUGUCGCAAAAUCCUCUCGUCAUACCUUUGUCUUUUGUGAGGCUUCAGAAGCUGCAUACGUUGGACCUCACUGGUUGUGCUCUUGAGCAUCCAUCCCAUAGUUUACCUCAAAUGUUCCUAGAUAUCAUACAUAAAAUGACAGGACUGAAAUUUCUGUUGACGAAAGAUCCAAUGAUAGUGGCCUGUCUUCCACCAUACAUCCGGUGCUCUGUUAGGAUUGAUGAAAACUGGCACUUAGCGACCGACGAGCUUGUUAUUCCAGACCUCACAAGAGGGUCCAGGGGCUUAACUAUUGCAGAGAGAGCAAAUCUGAAGAAUCGACCAGAGCUACGUUUCCUUAAGCUGGAGUGGACUAAUACUUCUCAUCCAGCUGUACAUGGAAUAGAUGAAGAUUUAGGUGAAGAAGUUAUGGAAAAGCUCCAACCACACCAGAGUUUAGAGCAUUUUGAGCUAGUUGGGUAUUCAGGAUUUGCAUGGCCUACAUGGAUGAUGAACAACAUGGUGACUUUACUCCCCAACGUUGUCAGACUCCAUCUGCUCUGCCUUGGAAACUGUAAAGAUCUUCCUCCACUGGGCCAGCUAAUAAAUUUGCGGCACUUGCAUAUAGAAGAUAUGCCUAACCUCGUAAAUCUAGGUAUGGGUCUUUCUGGGGGCACACAGCCCUUCAAGAAAUUAUUACACCUCAAAUUGGAAAAUUUACUAAACCUAGAAGAGUUGCCUAUAUUGUUGUUGACAAACAAUGGGAAUCAGCAGUUCUUGUUCCCUGCUCUUGAGGAAUUGUCCGUGCUAUCGUGCCCUAAUCUUAUGUUCAAACCAUCUCUGCCGAAGUGUCAGAAAUAUGGAAUAAAAGAUAGUAACAUGAUUCUGUCAUGUGGGGAACCUUUGGGGCCAUGGUCAUCUCCAUCACCAGCAAACAUAAUGAUUACUGGGUGCAGGAUAUCUUCCAGUUGGUUGCAAUGGCUUGAAUCCUUGCAGACUAUCGAGAAAAUAGUAAUUGAUGCAUGUGUGGGGGAUGAUGGUGAAGCAGUAACCUCUUUCAAGCUCCUAGGGGUAAAAUGCACUCAAGAAUCAUCCAGUAGAAAGAUUCCGAAUGAAAAAAGGAACCAAAGUUCAUCUGGGACAAGGAUUUUAAAUGAAUUGACCACUCAGGAUGAUGCCUAUAUGAAUACUCGCCAUGUUGUGGACGUGGACUCAUCGGGCUGGCAAUCCUCCGGUGAACCAUCCUUGAUAUCUUUACAGCAAAACCCAGUCACAACAGGCCUUGGUACCUCAAUAAUCCGGAAACUUUUCCCCAAGUUUAAUACCAGUUUGGGACAAUCAGUGGAGCGUAUUACAUCCUCUGCAGUAAGCAUGCCAUCACUGGAGACUCCACCAACCUCUCGCCAGCUGUCUAGGUCCAAAAUGCCUGCACAAAUACCUCGAGUACGAUCCUUGAGCUUAAGCCUUAAGCAGGUUCAGAAGGCUACUCGGAGAUUUUCACCUGCACUUAAGCUAAGUGAAAGUGGAUCCUGGGAAGUCUACAAGGGUAUCUUACCAAAUAACCAAAUUGUUGCCGUGAGGAGAGCUAAAAAGGGCUGUGAUCGUGCUGCGGAAGUUCACAAGAAAGUGCAGCUCCUUACAGCAAUUAAUCACUGGAGUUUGGUGAGGUCUCUAUGUUUUAUUGAUAAAGGAAAUCAGUUUAUUAUGAUCAGUGAGUAUGUUCCAAAUGGCAGUCUAAGGCAGCACCUGGAUGGCCAACAUCAGAAAAUCCUGGAUUUGGAUCAACGCAUAUCGAUCGCUAUUGAUGUUGCUAUUGCCUUGACUUAUCUUCAUUUAUGUGCUGCAGGGGAAACAAUGAUCUGUUAUGAUUUAAAGACUACGAAAAUCCUUCUGACAGAGAGUUAUAGAGCAAAGUUGGGUACUUUUGAAUUGUCAGGAAGUGGUGACAUGGAUAAAGUGAUAGGGACAAUUGGCUACAUAGAUCCACAAUACAACCGUUACUGUGAGCUGACAGUUAAAUCUGAUGUCUACACUUUUGGUGUAAUACUCUUAGAAAUUAUAUCUUCCCGUGGACCGCAAAUGUGGGAUCAAGACAUGCGAGACUCAGGGAUCUUUGACAACCAUCUUGGCCCUGGCAUUGCGGCAUGGGCUCUCGAGAGAUUUAAGGCAGGCCACGUCAGUGAGAUAUUGGAUGACCGUUUGGCGGAUCAUGUGGAUGAAGAAUUUCUUGGAGACUGGCUUGGUUUAGCAUCCUGGUGUACAAGUUUCGAAGUGGAUGAUCGCCCAAGAAUAGAGGAGGUAGGGGAGCGGCUGUGGGAAAUAUGGAAAGACCACAGAAAUCGCAUAGGACAGCCGUACGAGUACGAGAGGAGUUGGGAAGAAUUUGUGAAAGUGGAGGGGAUACCCUGGGGUGUCAAUUCCAGAGACAAGAGCAGCGGGCAUGCGGAGUUUCCUGCAGAAGGGAAGGUGACAAAGCACCAGUAUUCGCCUGAUGUGAGCAGUCCACAGUUGCAAAUGACCCAGUACGACGCUUCUCCUAUCGGUUCUGAUAUUACACUUUCUCCUCCACUCUCUCCCCGGUAG
RNAcentral lists this ribosomal RNA (5148 nucleotides) under Triticum aestivum (bread wheat). RNAcentral's name for it is "partial small subunit ribosomal RNA". Lineage: Eukaryota; Viridiplantae; Streptophyta; Magnoliopsida; Poales; Poaceae. The record is from RNAcentral.